This is a non-coding RNA of Nelumbo nucifera (sacred lotus), 895 nucleotides long. NCBI's taxonomy places the organism in Eukaryota, Viridiplantae, Streptophyta, Magnoliopsida, Proteales, Nelumbonaceae. The record is from RefSeq and is a predicted model, not a curated record.
GAGAGGAUUUGUCCGAACAGGGGAGCCGCGCAAAGGAGAAGACUGUUCAUCUUCUUCCUCGCGCGACUAGCGGCGGAGCAAGGGAGGCCGUCCUCCUCCUUCGGUUCGCUGCUCCCUCCCUUACAUUCCAACUUUUUUCGCCUUCGUCCUGCUCUCCUUUUUUUUUCUUUCGUUUCCGCCAGACUCAGCCAUAUAGCAGCUGUGAGACGAAGCUCUACCACCAUCAAUGCUCCUCCUCUCUUUCCCUCUAUUUCCUGUUGUUCCAAAAUACAUUACGGUCUCCAUCGCCAGUGUCGUUUGCCAUUUAUCACUCCUUCAACGCAAAACCGAAGAGUUGCAGAACGAACCCCUAUUCGGGCUGAAUCCCCUGUGCAAUAUCGGUGUUCUACCUGCCGGACAAUCUUAGUUUCUUCUCAAUCAGAAGCGGACCAUCCUUCUCCCCAUCGAAGUCUGGGCAGCCGUUGUAGUAUCCGGCGACGUCUUAGGGAAUCAGCACAAAUCAGGAUAGUAGGGAUGAAUAACGGGAAGAGCCGAUUCCCGGUAUCGGUUUUAUAGUGUUAUCUAAAGAUCUGAAUGUCAUAUAUGUUGAAGGAAGGAGAGUUCAGGGCUUUUCCGCAACCCAAGCAGAAUGGUGGGCUCUCCUCAUGGGCUUGAAGAAGGCUAUUAACCUGGGAAUUAAGAGCCUCUUAACCUUUUGUGCUGCAGCUACUGUAGUAAAUAGUUUGAAGGAAGAUGGUACGGUUGACUGGAAUGUGCUGCAUAUCCAAGAGGAAGUCAGAUCAAAAUUAACUUUUUUUGAUAGUGUAUAUGUAACCCAUAUUAGUAGAAAUGCAAACGCUGUUGCCCAUACUCUAGCCUGUCAAGCUUGUAAAUAUAAUGUUAAUAGUUUCAAAGA